Molecule: non-coding RNA, 776 nt
Organism: Callithrix jacchus (white-tufted-ear marmoset)
Lineage: Eukaryota; Metazoa; Chordata; Mammalia; Primates; Cebidae
Source: RefSeq, a predicted model, not a curated record
GCUCUUGGGUUUCUAAUUCUUUUAAUUGUGAUGUUGGGUAGUUAACUUGAGAUCUCAAUUUUGUUUUUGAGAUGGAGUGUUGUUCUCUCAACCAGGCUGGAGUGCAGUGGUGUGAUAUGGGCUCACUGCAACAUUUAUCUCCUGGGUUCAAGCAGUUCUCCUGCCUCAGCCUCCUGAGUACCUGGGAUUACAGAUGAAGAAGAUGAGACUCAGAGCAAUACAUAAGUUGCCCAAGGUCAGAGAGCAAGCCUCUGGCUGAUGGAUCCAAGAGGUAGAUGCGUGAUGUCAAAAUAUUCUCUUUUAUAGUGACCAUAUCAGAGCACGGUGUACAUCUCUUGCAGUAUUCAGAAUAUUUCUCUACGGGCAGCAACAUUUUUCUCUCCUUAUCUGGAUAUUAGGAAGAAUAUCACAGGACCGGCUUACAGCGCCAGUCACAUCGUGAGCAAUGUCAUCUGUAAUCCCCUAGUUAUUAAGAACAAUGUAACGGGGGUCUUGUGUGCUUUUGGAGAUAUUUGGAGUAAUAUCCUUUUAGUUUCUGGAUAUUAGAAACAACACUACAGUGGUGGUGUACACUUCCUGCGAUAUUAAGAGUAUACUCAUCCUCUGUCCCUGGGAUAUUAGGAACUACAUCGCAGAAGCGUUGCACUUUGCCUAUAAUAUUGGAACAAUCACAGAGUGUACACCUUCUUUCAUUGUGAGAGAAAUACCUACUUAGGAUAUGAUGGAUAAUAUCACAAAAUGGACACACAUGGCUAUAUACCCACUGUGAUAUUGGA